This 302-nucleotide ribosomal RNA is filed under the name Bacillus sp. CSeC15_58. RNAcentral's name for it is "bacterial SSU rRNA". It matches the Rfam family "Bacterial small subunit ribosomal RNA", at positions 127 to 421 of the family's 1533-position model. The record is from RNAcentral. Lineage: Bacteria; Bacillati; Bacillota; Bacilli; Caryophanales; Bacillaceae.
UGCCUGUAAGACUGGGGAUAACUCCUGGGAAACCGGAGCUAAUACCGGAUAACCUUUUGAACCGCAUGGUUCAAAACUGAAAGACGGUUAUGCUGUCACUUACAGAUGGGCCCGCGGCGCAUUAGCUAGUUGGUGAGGUAAUGGCUCACCAAGGCGACGAUGCGUAGCCGACCUGAGAGGGUGAUCGGCCACACUGGGACUGAGACACGGCCCAGACUCCUACGGGAGGCAGCAGUAGGGAAUCUUCCGCAAUGGACGAAAGUCUGACGGAGCAACGCCGCGUGAGUGAUGAAGGUUUCGGA